Homo sapiens (human) is the source of this 83-nucleotide non-coding RNA. Lineage: Eukaryota; Metazoa; Chordata; Mammalia; Primates; Hominidae. The record is from RefSeq and is marked provisional.
GUGCUGUCACUGACCAGGUGGAGGUGUGAGGUCCUGGGGCAUCAUGGCAGGACCUUGGACAUCCACUUUCUCAGGUCUGCAGC